This is an RNA transcript of Papaver somniferum (opium poppy), 1230 nucleotides long. It is a transcript of the gene named bifunctional nuclease 1-like, with no coding region annotated. The transcript has 8 exons. NCBI's taxonomy places the organism in Eukaryota, Viridiplantae, Streptophyta, Magnoliopsida, Ranunculales, Papaveraceae. The record is from RefSeq and is a predicted model, not a curated record.
GAAUUAGUAAAUUUCUUUCUUUGAUUCUCUGCUUCCACUUGAAGAUAUCAUAUCUCUGUGUGUGGUUGGUUUUAGGAUCAUGUUUUUAUUCAAUAUUGACAUGAUCGCAUGAAAAAUAGAAUUGAAUCCACUAAACAUUUAUAAAUAGUCAGAAAAAUCCUUAAUUAGGUAUUGAAAUUGAGCUCAGAAUAGUUGUUUAUAGUGAUUUGAAGUGAAUCUUCUGUAAAGGGGAGCUGAGGAUUAUCGAUUACGAUUGUGUGAUUUCGUUUCAGGAUCUUGAAGUAGGUGAAUAUGGCAAGUCUACAAGGACCAGUAAUUUGCCCAGCUGUACGUGCAAAACAAUCAGGAGGAGCUUAUACUUUACCAUUAAAUGGACCUGUAAUGAGAUCAAAGACUUUGAGAAAUGGUUUUCUUGGAUUUAAAGGGAAUAAUAGAUGUGGGAUCAAGUUGCAGCCAGUUUCUCAUCAAGUUCGUUUAAGGAAAUGUAUGACGGUUCGAUGUACUUUCAGUUCAUCGUCAGAUGGUAAUGGUAGUACUGCAGAGAAUUUUAAUGAGAAUGAUGGUGAAUAUGUCAACUCCAGCAUAAUGGAAGCUGUUGAGGUGAAAAGCGGAGCAGAUGGUUUCAUGAUCAAAAUGCGAGAUGGCAGGAAUAUGAGAUGUGUUCACAACAAUCCUCAGGGUGGCCAUCUGCCAGAUUAUGCUCCACAUCCUGCGAUUGUACUCAAGAUGGAAGAUGGAAGUGAUCUUUUACUUCCAAUUAUUGUUUUGGAAAUGCCGAGCAUGUUACUUAUGGCUGCUGUCCGCAAUGUUCAAAUUGCAAGGCCAACUGUAUAUCAAAUAAUUAAGGAAAUGAUUGACAAAAUGGGUUACGUGAACAUGCUUUUUGGUGCUUUUCAUCUUACAUGCUAAUUGCGGCAGUUGAAGAACGCUAUAGAGAUGCAGCUCAAUGGCGAGAUAAGCUUAGCCAACUUCGUUCCAAGAAACAGAAGUGGGUCUGACACAGAGUGUUAUCAUGUUUGUACAUAACAACCAUCUAUCAGUCCGGACAAGAUUCUCUAGGCAUCUCUCUGGUGGAAGUAGUAGUAGUCAUUAUCUCUCUGGUCCCAUGUAUGUAAUAUAAUAAUUUGUGAAUAUCUGUAUAGGUCUAUGGAAGUUACUCCCUGAUUUAUUAACUUUCUUCUGCAUGGUAUAUUGUUCAAAAUUUAUGCUUCAUCUUCUUAAGUUUGGCAA